RNAcentral lists this unclassified non-coding RNA (192 nucleotides) under uncultured Paecilomyces. Its description in RNAcentral is "sequence contains ITS2". Lineage: Eukaryota; Fungi; Ascomycota; Eurotiomycetes; Eurotiales; Thermoascaceae. The record is from RNAcentral.
CAACCCUCAAGACCCCUUCGGGGGACUUGGUGUUGGGGACCGGCACAGGGGCCUGCCUGCUUGUCUUGCAGCGCCCUCGCCGCCCCCGAAAUGAAUUGGCGGCCUCGUCGCGGCCUCCCCUGCGUAGUAGCACAACCUCGCAACGGGAACGUGACGGCGGCCACUGCCGUAAAACAACCCCAAUUUUAUUAG